RNAcentral lists this ribosomal RNA (270 nucleotides) under uncultured Pseudomonas sp. RNAcentral describes it as "partial 16S ribosomal RNA". It matches the Rfam family "Bacterial small subunit ribosomal RNA", at positions 1114 to 1382 of the family's 1533-position model. The record is from RNAcentral. Lineage: Bacteria; Pseudomonadati; Pseudomonadota; Gammaproteobacteria; Pseudomonadales; Pseudomonadaceae.
GUUACCAGCACGUUAUGGUGGGCACUCUAAGGAGACUGCCGGUGACAAACCGGAGGAAGGUGGGGAGUGACGUCAAGUCAUCAUGGCCCUUACGGCCUGGGCUACACACGUGCUACAAUGGUCGGUACAAAGGGUUGCCAAGCCGCGAGGUGGAGCUAAUCCCAUAAAACCGAUCGUAGUCCGGAUCGCAGUCUGCAACUCGACUGCGUGAAGUCGGAAUCGCUAGUAAUCGUGAAUCAGAAUGUCACGGUGAAUACGUUCCCGGGCCUU